Molecule: small nucleolar RNA, 107 nt
Organism: Humulus lupulus (European hop)
Lineage: Eukaryota; Viridiplantae; Streptophyta; Magnoliopsida; Rosales; Cannabaceae
Source: RefSeq, a predicted model, not a curated record
AUACCAUGAUGAGGACAUUUUCUCAAUAGUUCCUUAAACCUUUCCCACGUAUAAUACAAUGAUACUCCGUCAUUCUGAUAGAAAUUAUUGAACACACCUCUUAGUUU